GGGGGCGUAGCUCAAUUGGUUAGAGUGCUACCCUGUCACGGUAGAAGUUGCCGGUUCGAGUCCGGUCGUCCCCGCCA
Molecule: transfer RNA, 77 nt
Filed under: Patescibacteria group bacterium
Lineage: Bacteria
Description: tRNA-Asp
Rfam family: tRNA
About the family: Transfer RNA (tRNA) molecules are approximately 80 nucleotides in length.
Source: RNAcentral